Molecule: unclassified non-coding RNA, 1311 nt
Filed under: uncultured fungus
Lineage: Eukaryota; Fungi
Description: sequence contains 18S rRNA gene, ITS1, 5.8S rRNA gene, ITS2, 28S rRNA gene
Rfam family: Eukaryotic large subunit ribosomal RNA (bases 347-1311)
Source: RNAcentral
GUAGGGAUCAUUUAUGGUUUUUAAUUAAUCAUUUAUUGAUUAAUUUUGAACGAUAUUUACAAAAAAUAGCUCUGUGCAAUGGAGCACACGGCUCGUGCAUCGAUGAAGCCCGCGGCAAAAAGCGAUAUGUAAUGAGAUUCGCUAGCCUCGAGAUUCAUCAAAUUGGUGAACACAUCCAAAACCUGCAAAGGUACUUGCGUUAGAGUGCCAGUUUUAUUUAAUUGCUUCUUGGUAAAGGUGAAUAGUUAUCUAUUUAAUCCCUAGCCAGGUAGAAUGAAUAGUACUGGUAUCAGUACAGUUUUGUGGUACAAAAUUCUCUCACGAGAAGGAUGUAUAACUAACUUACUGGCCUCUAAUGUAAGAGGGUACCCCCUGGAUUUAAGCAUAUUAAUAAGGGGAGGAAAAGAAAUCAACAGAGAUUCUCUUAGUACCAGCGAGGGAAAAGAGAAAAGCCCAUCCUGAAUCCGGAUUUACGUCUGGAAAUGUAGGGUGUGGAUGCUAGUCCUUGUGUCUAGAAGCGUGAAAUACCCUGUAAUGGGGAAUUCAUUCGUGAAUCCAAAGAGGGUGUUAGACCCGUUAGCGCUUCAUUAGAUGCUGUAAGGAAUAGUAUCUGCGAGUAGGAUUGUUUGAUAGUACAAUCUGAAUAUAGGGGAUAAACUUCCUCUAAGGCUAAAUAUAAUGCACGAGACCGUUAGUAAACAAGUACCGUGAGGGAACGUUGAAAAGUACUCUGGUAAGAGGGUGAAAAGAGUGUGAAAUUGCAUAGAUUUAAGCGUAACCAAGUACCGCCGCCUGUAGUAUUCUUUUUUGGUUUACUAUAGGUAUCCAACAACUCUGUUUCUGUCUAAUUGGACGGAGAUUGGGGAUCACAUGCCAAACAUGCCGUUGUAGUUUAGUUGUAGGUAUGAAAAGCUUGUGGCUGCCUCCGGUUUCGCGACUGCGGGGUGGUUUCGGGUUCUAGUAUUUAUGAUUAAACGCAAAUAACCGGUCAUUGGUAUAUUGUUGGUAUGGUAUUUGGGAACGUCCCGUCUUGAAACACGGACCAAGGAGUCUAGCAUAUCUGCAAGCCGUAGCGAUUUUAAUCGUGAAGGCGUAAUGAAAGUGUAUUGUGUUAACAGCACAAACCGGGCCUUUUGGUCUGAGUUAGAGUAAAUAUGCUAGUACCCGAAAGGUGAUGAACUAUGCCCGAACUGGUCGAAGCCAGGAGAAAUCCUGGUGGAGGACCUCCCGCGGUGCUGACGUGCAAAUCGCUCGUCCGAGUUGGGUAUAGGAGCGAAAGACUCAUCGAAUCGCCUAGUAGCUGGUUCCUGC